Molecule: ribosomal RNA, 305 nt
Filed under: uncultured bacterium
Lineage: Bacteria
Description: partial 16S ribosomal RNA
Rfam family: Bacterial small subunit ribosomal RNA
Source: RNAcentral
ACAGCAGCCGCCGCGGGAAUACGUAGGGUGCGAGCGUUAAUCGGAAUUACUGGGCGUAAAGCGUGCGCAGGCGGUUUUGUAAGACAGGCGUGAAAUCCCCGGGCUCAACCUGGGAAUGGCGCUUGUGACUGCAAAGCUAGAGUGCGGCAGAGGGGGAUGGAAUUCCGCGUGUAGCAGUGAAAUGCGUAGAUAUGCGGAGGAACACCGAUGGCGAAGGCAAUCCCCUGGGCCUGCACUGACGCUCAUGCACGAAAGCGUGGGGAGCAAACAGGAUUAGAUACCCCCGUAGUCCCUGUCUCUUAUAA